Molecule: long non-coding RNA, 245 nt
Filed under: Lathyrus oleraceus (garden pea)
Lineage: Eukaryota; Viridiplantae; Streptophyta; Magnoliopsida; Fabales; Fabaceae
Description: Pisum sativum (pea) long non-coding RNA (PSAT_LNC017660)
Source: RNAcentral
GUUAAAUAAAAUAAAAUCAAAAGAUGAAAAUCAAAAAUGGAAGUUCUAGAAGAAAACCUUAAAAAAAAACCUUUUUCUCAAAAGAAAAACACAAAUGGGGGAGAUGGGAUUCGAACCCCUCCCCUUGGCAAUGCAACUCAGCGCGCCCACCACUGGGCUGUGAGUCACUUGGUGACAUAAGCCUGCUUCCAAGUCAAGAUAAACAAAACAAAUAAUUUAAAAAUCUGAAAUGCGCGCGCCCUGGC